UCCAUUUCCAGCCCUCGGGCAAUUCUUUUCCAAGCUUCUUUCUCUUACAAGAUGGCCUUUGAAGUGCCUUUCACCAGGUGCCUUCGCAGUAAAACCGAAGGGGGGUGUGCAGUGCAGUGUUUACCUCGCGUUCCACCCGUCCAGGCCCCAGACAAAAAACUGCAUAUUUUAUUCCAGAGCGGCCCGCUGGUCCCCGCGGCUCUGCACAGCCCAGGGCAGCCAUUCCAGCGGCUGGCAUGCAAAGCACCAGCGCACAACCCCGACCCAAAGUGUGUGGGCGAGCACACAGACCCCCUCAGUGUUCCCCGGAGCGCGCGUGGGCGGCGGGAGGAGGUGGGGUGAGACCUGGAGGGCCAUGGUCGGCUCCAAGGCCGGGAGGAGGGGGUGGGGGUGGAAAGCUGGAGCUGGAGCAGCCAGGCAGCUGCAACCCAUUAGGGGCGGUGAGCUCAUGGCUGAGCCAGAGUCGCAGCCACAGGAAACGGCAGCGGCAGGAGGGGAGGAGGGGUCUGGGACUGGAGGCGGCCCUGGGACCCGGCCUCCUAGCCGGCCGGGACCUAAGAAGAGCCCAGAGAGACUGAGUCAGCUCUCCCUGGCCCAGUUCUUCUUUCUUCUCCGCUCCAACCUUUCUGCCAGGGGGGUGCCCUUCCCUCGGUCGACCCGCGGUCUGGGUGGUGCUUCUGCCCCUCCUCCACUCCCAGGAGGGCGCGCCCCUUGGCAGGCAGCGCCUCUCCUCCGCCUCCUCGGCUCGCCGCAGCGAGCGCCCCGGCGGCCGCCGCACCCCGACCCUCCCUGGCAGUGCCCACUCUUGCAGGGGGUGCUUCGGAGAGUACUUCUGGAGUCCAAGUGCUCCGCACGGCAUGUUGUCCUGGAGGGGUGGGCUGCCUGCACCCUGGGCUGCCGCCGCCUGCAGGGAGCUCCCGGCGCUCCCAGCCGUCCGCAGCCGGAGUGCUCCCGGGCAGCACUUGGGUUCCUGGUCUUGUGGCGCUUUUCUCUCCCUGAUAGCCUCAGUCUCGGGUCUGCCCCCUGGCACUGUGGGGCCGCCCCCUUCUCUCCGAUCUGUCCAUUACCCCCCCCCCCAGGCAAUCCCUUUUCUCUGCGGGAAUUUCCCUCUUUGGCCAUACCCCUGGCCCCGGCCCAAGCCACAGCUGUGGCCGGUCCCCCAGGGCCGGAUGGGUGGGCCUGCCCUCACCGGCUUGGGGACUGGGAUGGAAAAUGGUGGUUCCAGGCAGAGCCCACCUGGUAGCUCUGAAGGACGUGGAUGACAGUGUCAAGGCCAACACUGCAAGACUGUGUUUGUUUGGGGUACUGUCCUCACUCCUGCCUGUAGUGUGGAGAAAUUGACACCUUGUGGAGCGGGUCUCCUAGGUGAUGGAAGUCAGAGGCCUUUUACAACCUGGAUCCAUCUUGAGACCCUGCAUGCCUCAAUCUCCAAGGGCCUUGCAGCACCACACACAAGAAGCAAA
Ochotona princeps (American pika) is the source of this 1463-nucleotide long non-coding RNA. RefSeq lists it as uncharacterized. The record is from RefSeq and is a predicted model, not a curated record. The transcript is spliced from 3 exons. Lineage: Eukaryota; Metazoa; Chordata; Mammalia; Lagomorpha; Ochotonidae.